GAUCUUAGCUUUGAAAUGUCAAUAAAGACUUGAAAUUAUAAAUGAGGGUUGGCUGGCUGACAUAUAUAAUAUGAAGGUUCUUUUUAUAUGGAAAGAAGGCAUGUACAAGUUAUCUGGACUAGGCUUCCAAAUCUUUCUGUGUUCCAAGCCCCCAGAAUACAUCAUUUGAAGAUCUUGAAGACAUCAGCUAUUUCCUUUGAACUCGGGUCAUGACAGGAUCCAACUUCAUGUUUCCCACUGGGAUAUACAUGUGGAUUCCAGACUAGAUUUACAGGGAUGAGAGCCCAGAGCAGCAGGAAUUAGG
This is a long non-coding RNA of Athene cunicularia (burrowing owl), 304 nucleotides long. RefSeq lists it as uncharacterized. NCBI's taxonomy places the organism in Eukaryota, Metazoa, Chordata, Aves, Strigiformes, Strigidae. The record is from RefSeq and is a predicted model, not a curated record. The transcript has 3 exons.